Molecule: long non-coding RNA, 3217 nt
Organism: Pan troglodytes (chimpanzee)
Lineage: Eukaryota; Metazoa; Chordata; Mammalia; Primates; Hominidae
Exons: 2
Source: RefSeq, a predicted model, not a curated record
CACCUGGGAGGGGCUGAAAGGCAGGCCCUUCCCCAGACAUUCUGACUCCCUGGGUCUGGAGUGGGCUCCAGACACUGAGUUUUUUAUGAAGCUAGGUUCUUGUGCUGGGGUCCCCAGGACCAUACUUUUUAAGGAACCCCGGCCUAUAGCAGCCUCUGGCGAGAGGCCAGCCAAGAGCAGGACCAGCACCUCUUUGGGCCACAGGCCUCCUUUCUCACAUCCAGGUGCGAGGAGGGCAGGCGUUGGAGGCCACAUGGAGCUUAGUGUAGCCACACUCCCAGAGGAAGCCACUCCCCAGCAUGCACUACGUACUGGAUGUACCAUUUCUGGAUGUUCCAGGACUGCGUGAGGACUUUCCGUAGACUCUGGGUUAAGAAAUACGACUCUAGAAGUUUCCUUGUUUUGCAGCUGAGGUGUUGGUGCCGGCACAUGGUGGAGCCUUGCCAGACACUUGUUGACUUGCACUUGUGAGAAACCCUGGAGUUGCAUAAGAGGAAGCACAUCUGUGUCCCCACGGCAGCCCAGACAGCAGCUCGGUCCCUGAGAGCAGAGGCCCAGCUCCCUGCCUGCAUCUGCGGGGCCUGGGAGUCAUGGGGGAGGCAGCGACAGCGCUGGGGGUUCCUGGAGAGGAUUUCCUCUGCCUUUUACCCUUCCCUUUGGGAAGGAGCUGCUGCCAUGAGGAGCAGGCAGGGCAGGUUCCUGGAAUCUCCAGGUGGGUCCCAGCCCUCUUCCUGGCUCCUGCCAGAAUGCCUACAGCCCACUUCCAACCUGGCAUGGAGGACAGCAGAGGGUGGGCACGGAGAGGCUGACUUGAGUGUGGGGCUUCCUUCCUACUUUGCUUCCAGGAUCCAGGUUUGUUUUGCAAAUGUUGGUUUCUCACUCCAGCUAAUUUUAUGGAGCCGAUCCGGCCCCCAAGGAGGACUGGAAGAGAAAUACUGCUUUUGAUUUCCUGUCUCUCCUGGCGUCUUGCUGCCCAGGGCCGCUUCAAGGUCGCAUAGCUGCUUCCGUGACAGGAGUUCCCCCUUUUGUGGAGUGCGCCCCUGUGCUGGUGUUGGGGAUACAGGACCCCACCGACGUCCUGGGCCCUGACUGCUAUGCAGAGCUGAUGCUGAGCCCUGCUAGGUGCCAGGGAGUGGUUCUGUCAAAGUUAGAAUUCAUUGCCAACAUUCAAAUCUCCAGAUUUUCAGCCUCUCUUUAAAAAUAGAAGGCUCCAGGCCAGGUAGUUGGGAGCUCAGAGGUGGCUGCUCUGUGGACCGAGCCUGGCUUCCUGCGGCGCUACCUCCCCACACACCAGGAGGCACCUGAGUCCAGGAGGCCCUAGAGCAGUCUUACCAGGAGCAAGAUGGAAGCAUCCAGAAUAUCACUUGGUCCCCCACCCCUCUUUCCGAGUGGCCUGGAGGGGCAGAUAACCCUGAGGCUCUGACGCUGCCAGGCGGCCGGCACUCCUAGCGCACUCACACUUCACCCGCGGUGCAAAGAAUUCCCAGCCUGGUAACAAUGCCGCUUCGCACAUCAGGAGAAGAUUCCGAGAGCCUCAGGAUGGCUCUAAAAUGCCACUUUGUAUGUCACUGAGCACCUUGGAGAUUUCCUGUGAGGCCAGUUACAGGGGUAAAGGACAUGCCACCCCACACGCUCUGUAUUUCCUGAUGAUGGAGUCACUGGCCGGGCUGGAAUGGCGCCUCUCCCUACCCCUCAUUGACAAUGUCUGUCCCACUUGCAAGAAGAAAGAAUACGGGAAGGUCAAGCUCUCCACACCCUGGCAGUCUGCUGGACCAUCCACCCCCGCCUUUUCCAGAGGACGUGUGAUGUUGGGACGAAGCCCAUGCCCCCUGGCAGAGGGAGGACUGUGAUGCCCCAACAGCGAGCACCAGAAAUGACAGGCUCACUGGGGACACGGCAGAUAGGUCCCCGCACGUGCACACGGUGGGCGCACACUCCAUCCCGUCCCCCCUCAGCCUCUGCGCUCCUCGAAAUGAGAUUUCUGAAAAUUUUGUCCUCAGGACCAAUAGGCGAAUGAGAGUUGAAUGGUGAGAUCGGGAAAUUGAAUAGUAUGUGGGUGUCUGGAUAUGAGAAGUUAAAUCUAAUGAAAAUUUCAUCCAGUUGAACCAAGAAAUCAGAAACAGGGCCUUUAUUCCUGUCAACAAGAAUACAGUGAAAAUUAAACCAACCCGGCUGCCAUUUCCCAUUGACCUUGUCGCCAUGGAGACAGCCUUCUAGUGUCAACAACACCGAGGACUCCGAAGGGGCCUCAUUCACUCCACGAGAGGCACGUGGCUGCUCCCUCUCCCGUCCGCCUCCGGCACGUGGUUCAUAAGGAGAGCAGCCACAUGUCCAGGGUUGCUGGAGAGCAACCCAGCCUAUACCAGCACCUGGACAAAUGACCACGGCACCCUUUGUUGGCUCCCAAGAAAUUCCCCCCAAAUGCACCUCUAACCAGGCACAAAGCCUGCUGCCGUGACGAGACCAGCACAGGCCUCAGGGAAGCCCCAGCGCCCAGGCUUGGAUGCAGCGUUGCUGAGAUGUCCUCCUUGCAGCAGCCUCCCAGGUUUUCUUCCCCCUUCCUCUCCUGCUUGCUCUGAUUUUCCAAGAGCAAGUCCCCAUCAGGCCCUGCCUCCCAGUUCCUCCCAUGGGAGGCUCAAGGAUGAGUUUCUUCUGCCCUGGUCUGGGUGGCUUGGCCAAAUGAGUGACAGCUGACCUGACCCCAAAGUGAGGAAAUCCCAAGUAGGGAGCCAGGGACUCGGGAGCUUCUGCCCACGAAGGCCCCAGCCAGCAAGGCCUGGCCCCUCUGAGACAGCCCAGCAUCUGCAAAGUCAGGGAGGGCAGGAGACGAAGCUGGGCAUCAGCUUGGGAUGACAGCAUGUGGUCCAGCACCAGGACCCUGAGUUUCCUGCACAGUCACCAGCCCCUGGUGAAGGGGCCGAGGGAAACCAGACUUCCCUCCAGGAAGUGAAGUGAGUCUUGCUGCUCACGGCCAGCACCCUCUACCUCCAGAUGGGGUCGCUUUUCUCCUUUGCCCACCACCGAGCUGCUGUCCAGUCUUCCUCACCUCCUCCUAGGAGCUGGUCCUGGCAGAGCUGAGAGCCAUGCAGGUCGCCCAGUGGAAAGAGCUUGAAUCUGCAGCCCCUCUUCACCCCCUACGCACCUGCUGUGUGACCUUGGGCAAGUUACAUAACUUCUCUGAGUCUUAGUUUUGGCAUUAAUAAAAUGGGAUAAUAUA